RNAcentral lists this ribosomal RNA (690 nucleotides) under uncultured Acidobacteriota bacterium. Its description in RNAcentral is "bacterial SSU rRNA". It matches the Rfam family "Bacterial small subunit ribosomal RNA", at positions 15 to 737 of the family's 1533-position model. Lineage: Bacteria; Pseudomonadati; Acidobacteriota. The record is from RNAcentral.
GAUCCUGGCUCAGAAUCAACGCUGGCGGCGUGCCUAACACAUGCAAGUCGCACGAGAAAGUGGAGCAAUCCAUGAGUACAGUGGCGCACGGGUGAGUAACACGUGAAUCAUCUACCUUCGAGUGGGGAAUAACUGGGAGAAAUCUCAGCUAAUACCGCAUAAUACCUACGGGUCAAAGCAGCAAUGCGCUUGAAGAGGAGUUCGCGGCAGAUUAGUUAGUUGGCGGGGUAAUGGCCCACCAAGACGAUGAUCUGUAUCCGGCCUGAGAGGGCGCACGGACACACUGGAACUGAAACACGGUCCAGACUCCUACGGGAGGCAGCAGUGGGGAAUUUUGCGCAAUGGGGGAAACCCUGACGCAGCAACGCCGCGUGGAGGAUGAAAUCCCUUGGGAUGUAAACUCCUUUCGAUAGGGAAGACAAUGACGGUACCUAUAGAAGAAGCCCCGGCUAACUUCGUGCCAGCAGCCGCGGUAAUACGAGGGGGGCAAGCGUUGUUCGGAAUUAUUGGGCGUAAAGGGUGCGUAGGCGGUCUGACAAGUCUGAUGUGAAAUCUAUGGGCUCAACCCAUAGUCUGCAUCGGAAACUGUCGGGCUUGAGUAUGGGAGAGGUGAGUGGAAUUUCCGGUGUAGCGGUGAAAUGCGUAGAUAUCGGAAGGAACACCUGUGGCGAAAGCGGCUCACUGGACCAU